GUCUGGGGGAUUAGGACUGCAAUUCUUGACAUUUCUAGUCAGUUUGAUCUUUUGGUAGGCUAGGAAAUUGGAAUUUCUUGAUUAGGGAAUACUAUUUUAAAAACCAUUACUGUAUUGCGUGAUGCCCUUUCAAAGACUUCUUUCUCUCACUACUCAUGUCCUCCUUGCCUGUUAAAUAUUUCAUCAUGUUAGAAAAGAAAUGCCACUUUUUUACUACUUUGAAUUUGGUAUUUCUCAGGUCCAAACUAGUGCGGAAGGUAGAAUUUGUGAGCUUCCAGGAGUUACCAAGAACAUCUGUUGGAGUCAAUCAUUUAUUCAGCCACAUGUGACCCCCCUAGCUUGUCCAGCUGGAAAACAGGACUACUGGAGAAGGAAAGUCUGUAAAUUGUCUUACGUAGAAUAGCUGAAGACUUGGAGAAGUUUACUCUGGAAAAUGAUCCAGUUUUUUUUUUAAAAAAAGACACGUAGCAGUUUUGCAGAACUUGUUUUUGAAGUGCCUCCGAAAAGCAGGAUUUGAAAUGACAGCAUGGAAACUGCAAGGAAGCCGUUAAUGACUAAACAUUUGGAUGAAAACUCUUCAAGUGUCAUUCCCACAUAUUGGACUUGCUGAAUAUUCCUUGAGUAGAAUCAUCAUCAUCAUCAUCAUCAUCAUCAUCAUCAUCAUCAUCAUCAUCAUCAUCAGUUCCUUUCACACGAAGCACAUAGGGCAGCAUCCAAUGCUUCCAAUGAAUCCUACCUUCAGCAGUGUCUUCAGCAUCUUUCUGUUUGACAUCCUGUCAGGUUUCGAGGUCGUCUCAAAUAAAUUGCAUUUCAAACAAA
Pantherophis guttatus is the source of this 819-nucleotide long non-coding RNA. RefSeq lists it as uncharacterized. The record is from RefSeq and is a predicted model, not a curated record. NCBI's taxonomy places the organism in Eukaryota, Metazoa, Chordata, Lepidosauria, Squamata, Colubridae.